AAAUCAGUAAAUAUAAAUUUUAAUUUUCUUAAAUUAAAAAAUGUGCCAAUUUUUUUUUUUUGAGUAUUUUUUAAAUUCAUUUUUAUGAAUUUGAAAUUAUUAAACUAAUAUUGUAAAUAUUUUUUAAAAUUGAAAAUACACUUUUCGAAAUGUCGACAUGGCAUUAUAAUCCACCACGUGAAAUUGUUUUGACUUGUAUAAUUAGGUUAAUCAUUUUCAAAAUUUAAUCGACUGUCAUUGGCUAUUAGAUUUUUAAUUGUUAUGAUUUUUUUUUCAGUUUAUUGUCCGAAAGUCCUUUAUUGUUCCAGAAGCAUAAAAUCUUUUGUUUUCCAAGAAAACUUCCGUGAAAGUUCGGAAAUGUCAUUAAUCAUUCUCAUUUUUAAAAACUGCUGAAUGCGCUAUAUAUAGAGUAUAUUUGAAAAGAGGAAUGCAUUUUAUGACAAUUGAAAUAACAUCACGAGUAUUUGUUUCAUAAAUCCAUUAGAGAAUUUUUAAAUUCAUGAUCAUUAUCAAUAUUUGAACAGGAAAAUUUUUUUAUAAAGGAUCUACGUUCGAAGCACAGUUUCGUCAAUGAGUUAUAUGGGAGUUUUAUUCUCUAUAUAACAAAUGACAGCUGAUAAAAUGACAUCACUGCGCACACGGCACAUUUUUUGAAACCCCAAAAAAAAAAAAACGACAUCUCGAAAAAUGAAUUUUAUAUUUGGCACGUGCAAUGAUAGCAUACA
This is a long non-coding RNA of Leptopilina boulardi, 725 nucleotides long. RefSeq lists it as uncharacterized. NCBI's taxonomy places the organism in Eukaryota, Metazoa, Arthropoda, Insecta, Hymenoptera, Figitidae. The record is from RefSeq and is a predicted model, not a curated record. The transcript has 3 exons.